UACGUAGGUGGCAAGCGUUGUCCGGAUUUAUUGGGUUUAAAGGGUGCGUAGGCGGCUUAUUAAGUCAGUGGUGAAAUACUCUAGCUCAACUAGAGGGGUGCCAUUGAUACUGAUGAGCUUGAGUACAGAUGAGGUAGGCGGAAUUGACGGUGUAGCGGUGAAAUGCUUAGAUAUCGUCAAGAACACCUAUAGCGAAGGCAGCUUACUAGGCUGUAACUGACGCUGAGGCACGAAAGCGUGGGGAUCGAACAGG
Molecule: ribosomal RNA, 253 nt
Filed under: uncultured bacterium
Lineage: Bacteria
Description: partial 16S ribosomal RNA
Rfam family: Bacterial small subunit ribosomal RNA
Source: RNAcentral